GUUGCGGAUGGUUGGGGUGGGUGGUGGCAUGCUGAAUCGAGAUAGGAGGGCGGUAGGAGAGGAUAGGUCCUCGAGUGUGUCUACCUGCCUAGGGCCACGCUUCCCCUUCUCCAGACAGAUGCAUGGCGUCCAAGGAUGGCGCUUGUCGCGCAUCGUACCCGCGUGCUCUCGGUUAUGCCUCUGCAGCUGAUGGCGUUGUACCUAGUGAACACUGCAUGGCGGCCUUGCCAUCUCCUCUUGGAAAAUCACGGCCGGACCUCCUUGCUGGUGAGUCAUUCGUUCCCCUUUUCUACCCGACCAGUUGAGGCCCUCGCUCUCUAUCCUUGUGCCCAUUGCAGACACUUGACUCUCCUAUUUCUCUCUAAUCCUUAGGUCUAGACAGCCGAGCCCCAACAAUCCCACACGUAAGAUGCUCAGCUUGAUUUAUGUGCAUUCUUAUCUGCUGCCUCUUGUGUUGAUCUUGGCCAGGGGACUGGUUUCAUGUUUUGUGAUACCGUGUUGUAUGUUGUGCCUGUAGCUAACCUCCUCAAGAGAUGGCGUUGGUGACCUAAGCUCGUGGGGAUCAUACGUUCUUCCUUGGGUGCAUCGUCUUAGGAGGUUUGUAAUCUCUUCCUUGUCUAACAAUUCUAUAUAGGAGUCCUUUGUUGCUGUCCUUGGCCACCAGAUUGUUGUAGAGGACUUCAACUUUUGUGGGAAGAUGUUUUCUUUUGGGUCUCAUGGUUAGAGGUGUGAUUUAAGUAGGCUGCUGCCAGGUCUUUCUGCUGAAACAUGGAUUGAUUGGCCAUUGUAUACACUGCUCCAAUUUAUCCUUCCUGAAAUUAUGAUGUUCUUUGCCAGUGUAGUGGUGAGGCAUGCCCUCAGAGAUAAAAAUCCUUUGAUUCUAAUUAACACGUAAAGAUAACAUGGUUCUAGAGACUAAAGUUGACUCUAUGAUUCUUGGUGACCGCAUACAGAGUAAUAAUGUUGACACUGUUUUUGGACACGUAUCUUUUGACACGUACCUGGGGAUUAGUAAAGCAUAGAUCGGCGGAUGAAGCAACGGUAACUAGUCUGCAGGGAAGUUGCUAAUGAAGAGGCAGUUAAAUGUGACUAAGUCCAGAGGUGGUGACGUGUUCGUGCCGAUGCUCAGUGUUAGUGUUUGUCGAUGGCCACAACUGGAGGUCUGUCGAUGACUCUGAAGGAAAGCGUGGAGAUUGCCGAUUGAUCUGUGGCGGUGCCCCGGUCGGUUACAAGAGGGUAGUUUUAUAUUUUCCUUAGUUAUUAGAAUUCGUUUUGUGUACGGGUUCCGUUUAGUUUGGAAUUCGAGUCCUGGUCGUGUCUGGUUGUAGCUCUUCAGACAGGGUAUAAAUAUAGACCCUAAGGCAAUGUAGUGAGACAAUCUAUCAAUCAAUUAAACACAAGUUUUUACUCAUAUUCCAACAUCUACUUUUUCGACGACUUCGUCAUAUUUUCUUUUUAUUACGAGUUCUUAGGAAUUCGUCGACUUAAGCUCGGCGUGUUCUCAAGUUCCGCGUGAUCACCUCUUGGCCGUGACAUCCGGGCGCAUCGCUGUUGUCGGGACUAAAGUGAUCGAGUUACCACCUUUGUCGAUUGAAAGGUCAAAUCGGCUGGCACGCCUUAACGUUUAAAUCGGGUAUUAGCCCUUUGUGUUCGCAAAUCAGUUUUGCAUCAACAAAUAAUUACAUGGUUCUAAAUGGCAUGUUUGACGAAAUUGUGCAAAUUCCCUUUCCAUAGCAAAAUGGUUUGCUCCAUAUGUAAAUAUAUUUUGUCACAUAGUUUAAGAUUGUAUGGCUAUCAGGCUAGCUAGAGUUGGUUAGUUUACUUGCUUAGCUCUAAUAAUAAUUGAGGUGUCCGAAGAUGCUAUGCUUGGAUAUGUUCCAUCCCUUCGUCGCAGCAUAGUUGCCAUCAGUAAGAACAAUCAGAUGGUCACCUAAAGCUAAAUGCCAACAGAGGAAUUGUGUACAUAUUUUAGAGAUUGUCACUACUAUUUUCAGUAUUGUAGGUAUACGUGUAGAUAUCGGUUUCAAGUUUGUUUAAACCAGCUAGUUAUCUGAUAUUUUCUAGGAGAACAUGUGUGCUUCAUUAGCAUGCUCUGCUUAGUUGCUAUUUGCAUGAGACUUGCUACAUGUGUCUAUUUCUUUGGUUCCGAUCUGUACAUGUUGAAUGUUUCAGCAGAAAGUGCACGGACUGAAGGCACCUUUAAAUGGCUCUAAUUUCAUUUUGCAUAUGUAUGUCUUAAGAUGCUAAUAUUGUGUGUCUAUUUGUUUGAUUCUGAUUCGUACAUGUUGAAUGUUUCUGCAGAAAUGCAAGGCCUGAACGCACCUAUAAACUGCUCUGAUUUCAUUAUGCAUAUGUAUGGCUUGUUUUGCUUGAACUGGCUGUUCUUAAGAUGCUAAUAUGCGGUUACGGUUACUAUUCUUUUCAUGCCCUCUCCAUUCUUACUGAUCUAAUGUAUUUGGCGUAUGUGACUACACUAAUACUGUUCUUUUGGUGAUCUCUCCAUUAUCCAUCUUCUUUGCUUGUGUAAAAGAGGUACUUGUGCCUGGCCCAGACUUACUACAACAUCUACUCAUUGAGCUUAUGUAUCUUGUAGGGAAGGCUGCAGGCUCUAGUGCUGAUCCGCCGCUUUCCAGUGUGCAUUUGUGCCACGUUUCAACUGUAAGUCCGCUAUAUGUGGUCAUGAUGUUCGUAAUGUUUGUAGGGUUUUGCUGCUUGUGUGUUUUACUUCCUGUAAGUCCACCGUAUUAUUAAUAUAUAGUCUAACUUUUCCAAAAUAACAUUUAAUAUUCAGUUCUUGUCAAGUUGAAUUAACUGAUUCAUCUUCGUAAGGUUAUAUCUAAAAAUAUUAUAUUCAGACAAACAAAUCAUUUUCAUAUUUACAUGGCAUGUGGCACUUGCAAUAAGAAGAUUUUCUUUUUUGUUUAUGGUACAAACAUCAGCCUCAUUGUCUCUUGUAUUAACAAUGCAGCAACUCAAGAUAACUAAUUAGUGAAGGAAGGUCAAAGUGCUUUUGCUUCUACCAGUUGCAGUGAAGUGCUCUUUAGUGUGUAUCUGAAACCUCGCUCACAAUUGAUGUUCACCACUUUUUUAGUUUCUCUGUAGCUUUAUAAAUGUACUCUAAUGAUCAACCGUAUAUUUUGGAUCGGCAUUCUAAGCUACCAACCAUAGUGCUCGGUAGCUAUGAAUUCCGAUCUAAACUAUAAUGAAUCAGUAUGUAAUGUAUGGCCGCAUAGAACCAUAAUGGCUAUGGUAGCCAUGCAUGUAGUGAAGGAUCUUGUAACCUGUGGCUGAACAGAACCAUAAUGGCUGCGAUGGCCAUGCACCUUUGAGUGCUUCAUUUCAUCUAGAUUUCUCUUCUCCUGUGAAAAUGUUAGUUCAUGUUUUGUGCCUACCAAUUUUAGUGGAACAAGAGGCACCGUUUGAUGAAUUACUAGGAUGUGAUGGUUAUAUGUAUAGUGUAUGAUUCGCAGACCAGAUACAAUAGAGCUUGUAUAUUAUUGUGUUAAUUAGAUCUUAGUGUUGUUGUGUAAUUACAGAUCCAUAUCUAUUAAGCGUUGAA
RNAcentral lists this long non-coding RNA (3559 nucleotides) under Sorghum bicolor (sorghum). RNAcentral describes it as "long non-coding RNA (SBIC_LNC013549)". The record is from RNAcentral. Lineage: Eukaryota; Viridiplantae; Streptophyta; Magnoliopsida; Poales; Poaceae.